Molecule: long non-coding RNA, 1244 nt
Organism: Thunnus maccoyii (southern bluefin tuna)
Lineage: Eukaryota; Metazoa; Chordata; Actinopteri; Scombriformes; Scombridae
Exons: 4
Source: RefSeq, a predicted model, not a curated record
UACAUUUGUUUGUCAGCGUCAAGAGAGCUUUAAAGACAUCCAAAACCAAAUAUCCUCAUUUAACCUGAUUGUAUAAAAGGCUUGGACAUUUAUGGGUGCUUAUCACUUUAAUACUCACAUUAUCAGGCCGUAGGAGAUGACGUAUAUUUACUGCGCUAGCAUUUGCCAUUGUGUGUGGGUGAAAGGAGCGAGUGCUAAUGCUAAGGUGUAUCGUGAUGUGGUUAAGUUCACUCACCUGUAACGACCCAUAAGUCUUUUUUGAGCAUCCUUAUUUUGCCUGUGUGGUCCAGUGGUAUUCCCAGUAUUGAGUCAAUGACGAGAAACUGAUGACAGUACUGGUGUUGAACUGCCGAUAAACACGGCUGGACCACAGCACAGUUCAGAGAAGCAAUUACGUCUCCUCAUCCUCAUUCCUGUAUCCUGACCGAUACACCAUCCUGUUUACUGUCAAACCCUAAACGAGCUAGCCCUGCCUAAUUAGCUCUCUAACACUGAUCUUAGUAAAUAGAUCACAGUAGCUCUCUAAUUGUAAUUUUGUAUCCACAAUCUUUCAAUAAUCCAAUGACAACCCCCAAAAAACCCGCACAGUGUGAAACCAGCCUCCAGGAAGUCCUGUAUGUUUCAGAGCCGCUAACAUCUGUUGAUCUGCGGGCUGCGGUGGGCCGUUUAGCAGGCCAGGCCACCGGGAAGAGUCCCGCUGCUAGUCCGGGCCUGCCAUGACCCUCUUCUGGAGCAAGCCCUGAGAGGGACCUGGAGGCCACACCAGCACCGAUCUGACCCAGUCAAACUUUACCCACAAAAGCAACAUGGGGUUGCUGCCAUGCUGGCUCACUGGGGUUUGUUGCAUUGCCAGUCAGAUGGUGGAUGAAGGUAAAGGUCUUGGUGUUCAGACCCCAGACCACCUUCAUAUUCACUUGAAUGAGAAAGUGUGUCCAAACUUUUGACUGGUACUGCAGGUCUGCUGGUCUCAUUGAACCAUGACGUUUGCAAGUACUGGCUUGAUUUCUAAAUGUCCGGUGACACGGUUCCACCAGCAACACAGACACACAAACAAGUGAUGUAUGUUUUUUUAAGUGAUGUACUUAUUUUGAGGAUCUCAGAAUUCAAAGAAUUUAUUAAGUUUUAGUUUUUAUCCUGAGAACUUUUGAUCACAGUAUGUUGAAUUAUUUGAUACUGUACAGCAGCAGCUGUGUGUGUCCAAGGCAAAUUUCCCUCUGAGACAAUAAAGACUUAUCUUAUUUGUA